UCCCUCAAAGCACUCAGAACAAAUUCCACUUCUCCAGUCAUAAGAUUUUAAAAGCUUAUGAGAGAGAGUUUGAGGCAUAUCCGGUGGGAACCCAACAUGGGAAGAUGCUUAGAACUCGCAGGACAGCUCAACCACUUAAUAGCACCACGUUUCGUCUACAAAGUAGGUUAUGAUUUAUUUAUUAUAGCAAUUAGACUUGGGAUAGACUCAUUUAACAUUGAUAGUAAUGUCGGGAGUUCUCAU
RNAcentral lists this long non-coding RNA (243 nucleotides) under Capsicum annuum. Its description in RNAcentral is "long non-coding RNA (CANN_LNC000789)". Lineage: Eukaryota; Viridiplantae; Streptophyta; Magnoliopsida; Solanales; Solanaceae. The record is from RNAcentral.